GCCUCGAAAGCUUGCAUAUUGUAAUCUUUUUAGUUAGCCAAUAAAACGUGUCAUUUUGCUUGGCUUUUCUCUACUUCUACUAAUUUGUAAUAAAGUAGGAGGACGAGCUUCAAAUGGACUGUCAGUGUCCCAAAGUCCAGUCCAGUGGGCACAGAGGUGGUCUGAAUGGUCUGUGAAGAGACCCCCAUGUCUGCUGACCACUGCUGUCCAUUCACAGCUCUGUCCAUAAGUGAUUUGAUCAAAAUGAUGACAAAGGAAAUCCACAGGACUUUAUCAGCUGACUUCACAGGACGUGUGGGGGUCACAUGAGUGACAUGUUUGUGUCCUCAGUUUGAAUUUGUCACAACAGCAGCUCAUUUCUUUAUAUCCUGCCUUUUCAAUGACGUCUGUUUAUAAAAGUCAGGACAGGACAGUGGACAGUAAGGGGGUGGAAUAAAGAUGGUGGGUUCUUUACAAGCUUUUAUUAAUAAUAUCAGAAAUAUUCAAACAAAAUGUUAAAAAUGUUAAAAUCAAUGGAAUUUGGUUCAAAUUGUCAGUGAACACCAAAGGCUAUCAGUCACACAGACGUCACCAAACCUGCAGGUCCCCAAGUCCUCUGCUCUGCUCAGCUCUGCUCUCUGGUGGUGACACCCUGUCACUUCUCUCAUUCUAUUUAUUCCCAGCUCUCACUUCUUCUCCUUUUUCUUCUCCUCUUCACUUCCAAGUCCUGAGUCAAGUCAGGCAGUUUUGAGUCAAGUGUUAAAUUUGAAAUCCCAAAGAAGUCAUAAUGUGUUUUACACCAAACUUACAUUUGCUAUUUCUUAAAUUUACAAGAAUCAUUUAAGACAUUUAUUAUUACAUUUCCAAACUAUCAACUCCAUGUUAAUACAAAGAUGAACAAAAAUGAAGUGCAAAUAAACAUGUAAUGAGAAUCAAUUCUCAAAGUGCUGCUGAAUACAACAAUACAAGCAGUACAAACAAAUGAGCAGGCCAGUUCUAUGUAUUGUCACACAUGUGUGCCCACCUGGAGAUGACCUUCCUGUCUCUGUGAGGUAAGUGAUACCACUCUGAGACGAGAGGGGGCGCUCACACUGACUGUCUCUCCUUAUCCACCUGCAGAUCUGAGAAGAAACCAAAUGAGGGGAACUGACUCAGCCACAGUGCCCAGAGCUGCCCCUGUCCUUCUGGGUGGGACUCUGAAAAGCUGCUGGUCACCCAGAGGAUGGAGUCUGCUGUUAGACCCAGAAACUCGACAUGAAGCAAGCGCCAUCAUGUUCACACAACUGCAAAGCAAAUUUGUCUAUUGGGCUGUAAAGGUGUGUUUUGUUGGGCCAUCGCGUCCACUUUUGUUUUGUUUCAUUUGAUUUCAUUAAAGGGGGACACCCAGUUGGUGCCCCGACAUUACAAAGCAACUUGUGCAGGUCUGUCCUCCAGUCACCAUAUCAGCAGACCAAUAUUUUCUGUUUGGAUUAUGUGUAUUGUCCUUAAUGAUGUCCAUUAUAUCUGUUCACCGUUGUA
This is a long non-coding RNA of Erpetoichthys calabaricus (reedfish), 1497 nucleotides long. RefSeq lists it as uncharacterized. The record is from RefSeq and is a predicted model, not a curated record. NCBI's taxonomy places the organism in Eukaryota, Metazoa, Chordata, Cladistia, Polypteriformes, Polypteridae. The transcript has 3 exons.